UUUUAGAUUUUUUUAUUACAAACAAACAAAAAUGAAAAUAUUUAACCUUUUUUGUUAUAAAAUUAAGAUAUAGCUAGUAGAAAAUUUACAAUAUGAAGGAAAAAAUUUGUGAUAAUUAUUCGAUAGCAGAAUUAGGAUCAAGGGGGUAACACUGGAAAUACUUUUGGCGAAGAUUUUGCCCCAAUGAAAGUAUCUGUUUUAUUUGUACAAACAUUUGAAUAAGCAUCCAUGUGAUUGAUCCUGCAGGUUUUCCAAAUGGGUAAUUAACCUUUUUUUAUACUAACAGAUUUUGUGCCAGAUUGAUACAAAGUCAAUUAAGCAUAAAUUUUGGAUUAAUUAUUGCUGCUAAUAUGCUACUGUCCUUACACAGAGCUCAGGAAAAGUCAAAAGGUUCACAUUUAUGUCUGCCACUUCAAUAACCCUAUGUGUAUUUUCUUCAGGAUCUAUAAUUGAAUUAAUCGAAGGUUCGAUAUUUAACGAAAUGAUCUCCAUCAUGAUCCUCAAUUUAAGAGAAAAUCAUAUAUCCGGGCGGAUAAUUAAGUCAAUUCAAAGACGCUUCCAAUGACUUCAUCGUACUAACAUUCUGGGGUUAUGAUAACAUGUCGGUGUCUUUUACCGAAGCAGCGCUGCUCUUAAGUAUACAAGAAAGGCGGAUUCAGAUUCCCCCGCAAUCGAGAUCGUCGUUACUCAGAUUUUUAUAAGACUUGACUUCCCUAAUUUCACGGCCAUAUUGCAAAAUAUCCAAUGGAUGCCCACAGAUGACAUACCUGCCGACGAAUCAUCAAGACAUUGAACCGGCGACCGCGCCCAAUGCCACCCAAAUGAUUAAAACCAAUGCCUCACUAUUCGGAUCGGAAACCAUCCAUACUCUCAUUGAUCUCAGGAAUGUCGGAACCAUCAUCCACAAUCUGGGUCCUCGAGCAAUUCUCAUUCCACUCGUUAGAGGACUUAUCACCUUAAAUUUAAAUUAAGUACGGACAAUCCAGCCGACGAACUUGGAUCUUAUAUAUUUCCGCUUCUACCCACGAAUAACGCCAACGAAACUAGCAUUAUCAACAACAUUAGUGACCAAGCCAACUUAGAGAUAUCCCUCUUCGGUUUAGAAACAAUAGAACCCCCCCCCCCUCCCCUUUUAUAUCUGGCCUGCUCAUAGAAAUAAUAACAACCUGACGAUUGGAUGAAGUCUCAAUCAAUUCCACAUAUCUCCUAUGAAAUAUCCAAGGAUACUCAAGCCGAAAAAUUUCAACAAUUAUUAAUUAGAACACAACGCCCCCACGCUUAUAAUAGAUAUAUAUUGCGAUUAACAAAUUACCUUCAUUGUUUUUGCUUUUUUUGAUUAAUAUAUUACUAUUCGUAAUUAUUAUUCACCAUUACUUCAUAUUAUAUUAUAUAAAAAAUCUUCAGCUUAGAUUAAAAUAUAACGAUAAGUACAAGUC
Long non-coding RNA from Gordionus sp. m RMFG-2023, 1436 nucleotides. RefSeq lists it as uncharacterized. The transcript has 5 exons. The record is from RefSeq and is a predicted model, not a curated record. NCBI's taxonomy places the organism in Eukaryota, Metazoa, Nematomorpha, Gordioida, Chordodea, Parachordodidae.